UACGAAGGGGGCUAGCGUUGCUCGGAAUCACUGGGCGUAAAGCGCAUGUAGGCGGCUUUUUAAGUCAGGGGUGAAAUCCUGGAGCUCAACUCCAGAACUGCCUUUGAUACUGAAGAUCUUGAGUUCGGGAGAGGUGAGUGGAACUGCGAGUGUAGAGGUGAAAUUCGUAGAUAUUCGCAAGAACACCAGUGGCGAAGGCGGCUCACUGGCCCGAUACUGACGCUGAGGCACGAAAGCGUGGGGAGCAAACAGG
RNAcentral lists this ribosomal RNA (253 nucleotides) under uncultured bacterium. RNAcentral describes it as "partial 16S ribosomal RNA". It matches the Rfam family "Bacterial small subunit ribosomal RNA", at positions 524 to 776 of the family's 1533-position model. The record is from RNAcentral.